UUUGUCGUGUAAACAGAGGUGGGUUCCCCGUUGGGUCACUCGUUUGCAUUUCACAAAGCAUCAGCUUAGGUCAUUAUUGUGUGUGUGAAACACAUCGGUUCUUCUUCUAAUCUUAAAACAUCAAACAUCCCACAUAAUUGCUUUCUAAAUUAUGUCACUUAGUUCCAAAUUAGUUCUUUUUUUGUUUUAUAAGAUGUUUUUGUCUGUUACUCUUCACUGAGAAAUGCUUUCAUUUUGAGAAACCAGGAUAAUCCAUUUGUUUUUCUUUUUUUAUCAUUUUUUUUUAGCUCACUGAGUCACCAUUACUCUUUUGCUACAGCAACUUAAUCUUAUACUUAAAAAAAAAAAAUAACUGAACCCAGCUUUACAAUUAAGUUGCUUUAUUUCCAAGCAAAGAAAUUGUAUUUUUGGGAAAUUGUUGGUGGCACUUUUUUUCCCCAACUGCAAUAAUUUAUAUAAAACGAAUGUAACUUAACUGUUCUUAGAAAUUCUUCUAUAAUUGUUAAAACAAAACUGGGAACAUAUAUUUAUAAUAUUUAUGAGCUGUAUCUUCCUGUUUUCCUGCUGUAUAACUGUGCCGUGACAAAGAGACCCAUUUCUUUCAUCCUCACUUGGGCAGGACAAGAGAACAUGCCGUGAAAGUAAAGUGUAUUCAAAAGGCUCCAGAAAAAUAGCUUCUCAUCUUACCUUGCACCUAUAUACAAUCAAGGAAAUAAAUGUAAAAGUUUAAACCAGGAUUUACACUUAGGAAACAGCAGCAACAUCCUUUUCCAUUACAAACAUGUGGAGUUUGUUAAACUCCACAAACUGAAAGCAUACCAUACCGCAUUUUAUUUGUAAAACUAAAACCGGAGUCGUGAUUUCUUGUGUACUUGUGCCAUUUAAAAUCUUGCUGCAGCAUUUUGAGCUAACUGUAAGCGUGCAAGAGGAGAACGGAUAAUAGCAAUUGAAAACAUAAAAAAAAUCGCUAUAAAAUUGCAAUCUAAAUUGUAGUUAAUUUAAAUCAACUGUGUUUGGGAUGUUUGUCUAUGGUUUACAUUUGAAAUUCCAACUUUUGAGUCUUCGCCAGUGCAGAAUUGGGACAUCUGUCUCACUUCAGUGACAUAAAAUCUGGAUGAAAUGCAAUGUGACUAUCCGAGCAUUAAGAAAACAUCAGAUAGGCAUCAGAUUUUGGACCAGAUGCUGCAUAAAAAUGGCCUGGGUCAUUAAAAGAAGACAACAAAAAUUUAGAUAUUGUUACCAUCUGGGCAAUAAAAAUCGGAUUUUGGCCACCUUUACCUGCAAUGUGAACAUAAUCAAAGACUAAGCUCAUAAUAAAUAAACAGAUCAUUUGGAUUAGAUGUAAAACACAGAAUGAAUAUGUGGAAAAACAGCUUUCAAAGAACACCACAACAUUUUAAGUCAAAAUCUGGAGACCUCUGCCAGACAAAAGGGCUUCGCAAUUUAUCCGGAUUCAUGCAAUACGGGUCAAAACGGGUCACAAAACUGUGGGUAUAUAUUCGUAUAUGUGUAAUGCAACACUAAAUUCCUCAAAAAAAAAAGUUUAAUAAAAGAAGAAGCAAAAAAUAUUUUUGAUUACAACUAGAAUCAGAAGUUAAUUUUUAGCUUUACCUAAGCAUUCCUUUUUGUUGAGUUAAAAAAUCUGAAUGUUGUUACAGGAAACAUUUCCACCUGAACCUACUAAACUAUCACCUUAUCAUCAGCUGCCACAUAAAGCCAUGGAUUCCCUAAAGCGUUAGACGGAGUGCAGCCCGGGUAAAAUCCGGUCCACACUUGACUUCCUGUUGUUGUUAAGUGUGUGACCUGCAAACACUGUGUACAAACAGUAGGGAAAAAAAGCUGAGAUAGUGACGUGUGAAGCUUGAAACCAGAGAGACGGAUGAUAAACCACGAUGAAGGCGGCAGAACCACACAGUUUGGAGGUUUGAUCUCAGCUACGCAAGUUCUGUUUGCUUCUUUGCGGUUUUCUGACUCACUCGUUCUCUUAAUGGCCCUUCGGAGCACUUACUUCCCUUAUACCGGUGCCAACAAUUAGUUCUCUGUAUCCUUCUGCCCUACAGGUAGCUGUUAAUUACCAGUCAUGUUCGUCAUUUGUAAAAAUGAGCACGUAGAGACUUGAAUGUUUCUUUAGAUACUGUAUCCAGCGCGGUAAACAGCGCGUCUCAGGUAUUUAGACUCGGUAGAAAAAUCUAAACUGCUUCAUCACACAGCAGAACAUCUUCCUGAGGGUGUGUGCAACCAGACGGCAUCGCUGAACACCACAUCCAGACACCAGCAAUUAGAACAUGGAGAGCAGACGUCUUCUCUUCCCUUGUUGUGGGAGGGCGGCUUCACAGAGAUCCAGGCUGCUGCCCUUCCCUCGGGCAUCCUGGAUGCCCACGUUGAGGGAGAGCAGCGAGACAGAAGAACGGAGAGAACCUGUGUGUGCAAAAGCCAAAAAAGAAAAAAAAAAAAAGAGAAAGUGAAGAAAAAGAGAUUGGUGGGGGUGAGAUGAACGCAGCAGCCCAUGGUUUGUCUCAGGGCUGCAACAGCUUCCAGAACCGAUGUGCAGCAGACUGAAGAGAGGCACGUCUGCCCCACAGGCAGAGACUGGAAAACAGGAUCAAAGAGUCGCCAGGGCAACCUGCUUGACACACAUUGUAUUAAAGCCACACGGUUAAUUUGAAAGAGAGGGAAGAAGGGCAAAAGGAGAAGAAAGGGGGAGCUGAGGCGGGGGGACAAAGACGCAGCACAGAGUCGAGUAUAUUUAUCAGGAACUCCUGUCUUACUCGGUUAACUUUACACUCAAAACUCUCUUCAGCUGCUCCACUUUGAUCGCUUUUACCUUCGAACUUUGGCUCGAACUCCCCUGGUUCAUCUGUCUUUUUCUGAUUGUCGUUCAGCGUCUCAGGUUUCCACAGGACACCUUGGUCCACAAAUCGGGGGGAAAUAUCUGCAGGAAUUCACGUAAAUGGGAAACCCAGGAUAUAAUCUGUGCUGAUCCAGGAAAAGCAAAUAUUCUUUUGUAAACAUAUCCAGAUGUAUAAAAACAUUCAAAUAAAUUCUCCUUUUCCUGCA
Long non-coding RNA from Xiphophorus hellerii (green swordtail), 3057 nucleotides. RefSeq lists it as uncharacterized. The transcript is spliced from 2 exons. Lineage: Eukaryota; Metazoa; Chordata; Actinopteri; Cyprinodontiformes; Poeciliidae. The record is from RefSeq and is a predicted model, not a curated record.